GACGAACGCUGGCGGCGUGCUUAACACAUGCAAGUCGAACGGAAAGGCCCUGCUUUUGUGGGGUGCUCGAGUGGCGAACGGGUGAGUAACACGUGAGUAACCUGCCCUUGACUUUGGGAUAACUUCAGGAAACUGGGGCUAAUACCGGAUAGGAGCUCCUGCUGCAUGGUGGGGGUUGGAAAGUUUCGGCGGUUGGGGAUGGACUCGCGGCUUAUUAGCUUGUUGGUGGGGUAGUGGCUUACCAAGGCUUUGACGGGUAGCCGGCCUGAGAGGGUUACCGGCCACAUUGGGACUGAGAUACGGCCCAGACUCCUACGGGAGGCAGCAGUGGGGAAUAUUGCACAAUGGGCGGAAGCCUGAUGCAGCAACGCCGCGUGCGGGAUGACGGCCUUCGGGUUGUAAACCGCUUUCGCCUGUGACGAAGCGUGAGUGACGGUAAUGGGUAAAGAAGCACCGGCUAACUACGUG
This 468-nucleotide ribosomal RNA is filed under the name uncultured bacterium. Its description in RNAcentral is "partial 16S ribosomal RNA". It matches the Rfam family "Bacterial small subunit ribosomal RNA", at positions 28 to 507 of the family's 1533-position model. The record is from RNAcentral.